CCUACGGGUGGCAGCAGUGGGGAAUAUUGCGCAAUGGGCGAAAGCCUGACGCAGCGACGCCGCGUGAGGGAUGAAGGUCUUCGGAUCGUAAACCUCUGUCAGCAGGGAAGAACGGUCACUGUGCUAAUCAGCAGUGAAUUGACGGUACCUGCAAAGGAAGCACCGGCUAACUCCGUGCCAGCAGCCGCGGUAAUACGGAGGGUGCGAGCGUUAAUCGGAAUUACUGGGCGUAAAGGGAUCGUAGGCGGUAUGUCAAGUCAAGGGUGAAAGCCCCGCGCUCAACGUGGGAACUGACGUUGAAACUGGCAAACUGGAGUGUGUGAGAGGAUAGUGGAAUGCCAGGUGUAGGAGUGAAAUCCGUAGAUAUCUGGAGGAACAUCAGUGGCGAAGGCGACUAUCUGGCACAUAACUGACGCUGAGGAGCGAAAGCGUGGGUAGCAAACAGGAUUAGAUACCCCUGUAGUC
Molecule: ribosomal RNA, 465 nt
Filed under: uncultured bacterium
Lineage: Bacteria
Description: partial 16S ribosomal RNA
Rfam family: Bacterial small subunit ribosomal RNA
Source: RNAcentral